UGCAAGGUGUGCACCUAGAGCGCAGCCCCAAGCUUUCCAGCUGAAAUUGCUCGUGUAUUGACCCAGUUUUGGGGUUUUUGGAGGUUGCGUCUUUAGGUGCACCCAUACAUGCAGAGUAUAAUUUUGUUUGGAAGAAGUUGGAGAUUGAUACUUAGCAUGGUUUUUUUUCUUUCCGUGGCAAUUUUGGGGAGAAAUAUAACUUUGUAACUUUUUUCUUUUGGUCAAACCACAAACUUCUACGGAGAAGUGCACCCACAGAUCUCCACGUUGGAAAGCAAGGAUAGUGUCCCUGAAUAGCUACAGGAGCAGAAGAUUAUUGGAAUGAGAGAAGGGUUUUCUGAACCUGUGAAUGAUGAGUAUUUUAUGGCUUUUUGUUAUUGGUUCUGGUGUCAGCACCCAGAGACUUUCCUAUAGGAGUCGAGAGGAUGGAGUGGGGAGACCCUCUUGUGAGUUAACUGCACAACUGCUCACAACAAUCCCAUCAUAAUAAAGCUGCAUUUUAAGCAUAGUCAAUGGCAAAACUUCCGGGGGUUGUGAUCACACCAAGGCCUGCACCCUCAACUGGGUCUAACAGAUGCGCUGAUAGGAAAUCUGGCUCUAAACUUCAUUCAGAAAGCCUUCCAAUGGGGCUGGCUGACUCCAUCUAAAGAACAAAUGCUCUGUAAGGCUACACCUUUAUUUCUGUGUUUUUGUAUUACUUUUCUUUUAUUCAGGUCCUUCUCUAGUCAUAUUCUAGUUUCUUAUUUAAACCAGUGCAUGGUUGCUGUGGUAAAUUGGACCCUAGUAACCAGACUGAUGAAAUUGCAAACUGAAGAGCUGCUAAAUAAAACAACUAAACUGAAAAAUAGUAAGGAAUGAAAACCAACUGUCACUGUCUGUCAUACUUAAAGUUAACUCAAAGGGUACACAACCCCAUUUAUUAAACUAAGGUUCGAUUAAGAUUGACUAUUUUUCAGUGGCUCUGGUGCAAAAUACAGUGUGUCUCACCCCUAUGUGUACUAUUUUGGCUCAAUUAAUACGAACUACCUUUAUUAUACUGAUCACUCACUUAUUAGAGCUUUAUAAUACACAAAAGCAAUGAAUAUCUUGUAAAUUAU
Xenopus laevis (African clawed frog) is the source of this 1097-nucleotide long non-coding RNA. RefSeq lists it as uncharacterized. The transcript has 3 exons. NCBI's taxonomy places the organism in Eukaryota, Metazoa, Chordata, Amphibia, Anura, Pipidae. The record is from RefSeq and is a predicted model, not a curated record.